Molecule: non-coding RNA, 35 nt
Organism: Aeribacillus pallidus
Lineage: Bacteria; Bacillati; Bacillota; Bacilli; Caryophanales; Bacillaceae
Source: Rfam
CUCUGUUUCGGCAAACGAUUCAGGGCGGAAAAGAG